Molecule: non-coding RNA, 396 nt
Organism: Peromyscus californicus insignis
Lineage: Eukaryota; Metazoa; Chordata; Mammalia; Rodentia; Cricetidae
Source: the annotation of a RefSeq genome assembly
AUGGAGUGGAGCUGGAUCAUCCUCUUGCUGGUGGCAGCAGCUACAAGUGUCCACUCCCAGGUCCAGCGGCAGCAGUCUGGGGCUGAGCUGGUGAGGCCUGGGGCCUCAGUGAAGUUGUCCUGCAAGGCUUCAGGCUACACCUUCACUAGCUACUUUAUGCACUGGGUGAAGCAGAGACCUGGACGGAGCCUGGAGUGGAUUGGAUGGAUUUAUCCUGGAAGUGGUAAUACUAAGUACAAUCAGAAGUUCCAGAGCAAGGCCACACUGACUGUCGAUAAAUCCUCCAGCACAGCCUACAUGGAGCUCAGCAGCCUGACAUCUGAGGACUCUGCCGACUAUUACUGUGCGCGAAACACAGUGUUACAACCCACAUCCUGGGUGUGUCAGAAACGCUGA